AGAGUUUGAUCAUGGCUCAGAUUGAACGCUGGCGGAAUGCUUUACACAUGCAAGUCGAGCGGCAGCGCGGGGCAACCUGGCGGCGAGCGGCGAACGGGUGAGUAACAUAUCGGAACGUAUCCUUAAGUGGGGGACAACCUAGCGAAAGUUAGGCUAAUACCGCAUACGCAGGGAACUGGAAAGUGGGGGACCGCAAGGCCUCACGCUUUUGGAGCGGCCGAUAUCAGAUUAGCUUGUUGGUGAGGUAAAGGCUCACCAAGGCGACGAUCUGUAGCUGGUCUGAGAGGAUGAUCAGCCACACUGGGACUGAGACACGGCCCAGACUCCUACGGGAGGCAGCAGUGGGGAAUUUUGGACAAUGGGGGCAACCCUGAUCCAGCCAUUCCGCGUGAGUGAAGAAGGCCUUCGGGUUGUAAAGCUCUUUUGUUCGGGACGAAACGGUUUCACCUAAUACGUGAGACUACUGACGGUACCGGAAGAAUAAGCACCGGCUAACUACGUGCCAGCAGCCGCGGUAAUACGUAGGGUGCGAGCGUUAAUCGGAAUUACUGGGCGUAAAGCGUGCGCAGGCGGUUUUGUAAGCCAGAUGUGAAAUCCCCGGGCUCAACCUGGGAAUGGCAUUUGGGACUGCAAGGCUGGAGUAUGGCAGAGGAGACUAGAAUUCCUGGUAGCAGUGAAAUGCGUAGAUAUCAGGAGGAAUACCGAUGGCGAAGGCAGGUCUCUGGGCCAAUACUGACGCUCAUGCACGAAAGCGUGGGGAGCAAACAGGAUUAGAUACCCUAGUAGUCC
This 789-nucleotide ribosomal RNA is filed under the name uncultured bacterium. RNAcentral describes it as "bacterial SSU rRNA". It matches the Rfam family "Bacterial small subunit ribosomal RNA", at positions 8 to 796 of the family's 1533-position model. The record is from RNAcentral.